Molecule: transfer RNA, 71 nt
Filed under: Ovis aries (sheep)
Lineage: Eukaryota; Metazoa; Chordata; Mammalia; Artiodactyla; Bovidae
Rfam family: tRNA
About the family: Transfer RNA (tRNA) molecules are approximately 80 nucleotides in length. Their secondary structure includes four short double-helical elements and three loops (D, anti-codon, and T loops). Further hydrogen bonds mediate the characteristic L-shaped molecular structure. tRNAs have two regions of fundamental functional importance: the anti-codon, which is responsible for specific mRNA codon recognition, and the 3' end, to which the tRNAs corresponding amino acid is attached (by aminoacyl-tRNA synthetases). tRNAs cope with the degeneracy of the genetic code in two manners: having more than one tRNA (with a specific anti-codon) for a particular amino acid; and 'wobble' base-pairing, i.e. permitting non-standard base-pairing at the 3rd anti-codon position.
Source: Rfam by way of RNAcentral
UCCCUAUAGCUCAGAUGGUAAAGAAUCUGCUUGCAGUGCAGAAGACCCAGGUUCGAUACCUGGAUUGGGAU